This 472-nucleotide ribosomal RNA is filed under the name uncultured bacterium. RNAcentral's name for it is "bacterial SSU rRNA". It matches the Rfam family "Bacterial small subunit ribosomal RNA", at positions 8 to 507 of the family's 1533-position model. The record is from RNAcentral.
AGAGUUUGAUCCUGGCUCAGGAGGAACGCUGGCGGCGUAGCCUAACACAUGCAAGUCGAGCGAUCUUCUUCGGAAGAGAGCGGCGGACGGGUGAGUAACGCGUGGGUAACCUGCCUCAUACACAUGGAUAACAUACCGAAAGGUAUGCUAAUACAAGAUGAUAUAAGAGAUUCGCAUGGAUUCUUAUCAAAGCUCCGGCGGUAUGAGAUGGACCCGCGUCUGAUUAGCUAGUUGGUAAGGUAAUGGCUUACCAAGGCGACGAUCAGUAGCCGACCUGAGAGGGUGAUCGGCCACAUUGGAACUGAGACACGGUCCAAACUCCUACGGGAGGCAGCAGUGGGGAAUAUUGCACAAUGGGCGAAAGCCUGAUGCAGCAACGCCGCGUGAGCGAUGAAGGCCUUCGGGUCGUAAAGCUCUGUCCUCAAGGAAGAUAAUGACGGUACUUGAGGAGGAAGCCCCGGCUAACUACGUG